CGAGCGUCAUUACAACCCUCAAGCUCUGCUUGGUAUUAGGCCUCACCUGCUAAGGCGGGCCGUAAAAUCAGUGGCGGUGCCAUUUGGCUUCAAGCGUAGUAAACUUUCUCGCUUUAGAAGACCGCAUGUAUGCCUGCCAGCAACCCCAAUAUUUAUUACAGGUUGACCUCGGAUCAGGUAGGGAUACCCGCUGAACUUAA
RNAcentral lists this unclassified non-coding RNA (200 nucleotides) under soil metagenome. RNAcentral describes it as "partial contains internal transcribed spacer 2 and large subunit ribosomal RNA". The record is from RNAcentral.